UCGAAGCAGACACCAGUGGGCCAGAGGGUGACCACCUGGUGCUGUCCCGGCUGUCUGGCAGGACACUGCCCUCAGAGCUGUCUUUGGAUAAAGGCCAUGCUACUAAUGGUGCAAUGGAACAAUCAAAGCUAACUGCACUGGCAAUGACACCGUGGAGGAAGCAGUAGUUGUGAUUGCCUAGGGAUAUGAUUCAGCUGCGCACCAAGGAUGUGUAAUAGCUCUUUGCCUCUAAAAGAGGAGCUCUCUGCUUCCUUCCUUCCAUUCCUGCUCACAGAUGCAUGAUCUGAAGCUUGCUCUGCAAGCAUCUGAAGUCAUCAGUGUAGAACAGCUGCAGCUCUGCUGCAUAAAAAGAGGCAGCUGACACGCUGUGAAAAAAUUUCAGGAAAAUGUACUCUUUUUACUUUGAGGCACAGCAGUAUGUUGGAUCAUUCUCAGGGGAGCUGAACAGUGGAGGCAACAGAGAUGUGAAUAGAAAUACAUGCAAGAGAUCAUAGAGCUGAGGAAAAUACAACUGUAGCAUAACGGGCCCUUCAUAAUUCAAGUGAUCAUCAGAGGUUUUUGGACCUGGUAUUCAACUGAGUGGAGUGGAAAAACAGAGACUGCCAGUCACCAUAUUUGUGUGGAAUUCAGAGGCAACCUGUCUUUAAGACUCCAAUUAUUGGAAAAUGGAAAAAAUCCCAACCUAUAUCUCCCCAAAGAGAAACCAAGUUGCUGAGAAAUUCUCUCAGUGGGUCAAUAAUAGUACUCCCUGAGUUGCCAUACUAAUUUUCUUCAUUUGGUUGAGGUGUUUCUGUGUCUCCUAACAAAGUGCAUUCUGCGCUUCCACUUCCUCUGUAGCAGAAAAAUGUCUGAUAUAUUUUUUCAUUGAUAAAGUGGAAACACUUUCCACUAGACCAGGUUCCUCAAAGCCCCAUCCACCCUGACUUUCACCACUUCAAGGGAUGGGGAAUCCACACCUUCUCUGGGUUCCCAUUCCAGUGCCCCAGCACCCUCACCAUGAAAAAAUUCUUCCUUACAUCUAAUCUAAGUCAUGUAUAACUAUUCAUUAUUACUGAGUUACAUAGCUACAGGUAUGCAAACAGCAAGUAACUACAACAGGAAUACAGAUGUCAUUAUUUGUGCAAGAAAACCUUCAUCUGGAAAAGCAAAGGCUCCAGGAAUUAUCAGUUGAAAAUCAGAAGAAACAUAUGGAGAUUUCAUAAAUGCUGAUCAAAGUCUCUUGUUGCUGUCCUUAGCAUUAAUGAAAACAGAUCAUGUCAAAAGCUUGUGUAAGUUCUGUAUAUAAUUUUUAUUUAUCUAGGACACUGACCACAUUAUGUCUUCUCUAAUUUAUUCUAUUUGGUCUCCUUUGAAGCAAUUACACAGUUUACAUUUUGAUUCACUAACUAAAUAUUGUAAUAAAAAAAUCUAAAAUAAUUUAAAAAACCCACUCCAUCAGACAAGACAAAAUUGUAUUCUUUUAACAAAGCUGAUUAUCUUUUCAAAUGAAUGCCUCAGGACUCAGGGUAAACAAUACAUCCAAUGGACAAAAGCCUCUUAAUUGCAUUCCAAACACGCAGACUGUGCUGGUCACCAAAGGCAGAAAUUAAUUUCUCCUUAGGUGUUAUCUUCCCACCAACAGGGACUACAGCUACAGCAAAGUACUUCUUUAAACUAUACAUAUAACAUUUUUUUUAAAAAGAUGCCACCCUGUUUCAUUUCAGUUAUGAAUACAAAUGGAUGGUAUGCCAGUCAGUCAUGAAUGAGUUUUGAUAGUUGCAACAGCUUCUGCCUCAUAAAUAAAAUGCAGAGUUUGGUCACUGAAAAAAUGUAGAGCACGAUAAACCCUCUAUCAACGAGCACAGAUCUCCCCAUUCUUUUCCUUGUAAGUGAGGACGGUUUGUCCCUGGGACCUCCACCAUGAAUGAAACAGUCACUGAUGAAAUUACAGUGGGUGUGUGUGCAGAGAUCUGUGACUCCACCACUGUCUAAACACCCCUCUCCAUUUUCAGAUUAAAAAAAAAAGACAAAAUAUUUCCUAAAUAUAUUUAACAUACUAUCCAUGUUCUGGAUAUUUACAAGAUACCAGAAAAAAUAUUUUUGUUUUUCUUCUUAAAUAUUCAUUUGGGGAGACUUUGUCAUGGUGGUAGAUCAUUAAAGGUCUCUGGCUGU
Molecule: non-coding RNA, 2151 nt
Organism: Cyanistes caeruleus (blue tit)
Lineage: Eukaryota; Metazoa; Chordata; Aves; Passeriformes; Paridae
Source: RefSeq, a predicted model, not a curated record